GUAUCCUUUGGGAACAAUUGAAAAUCAGAACAAUACAGAGAAGAUUAGCAUGGCCCCUCGGCAAGGAUGGCACAUACAUAUCGAUAUAGACGUAUAGCAACU
This is a small nuclear RNA of Rhododendron vialii, 102 nucleotides long. Lineage: Eukaryota; Viridiplantae; Streptophyta; Magnoliopsida; Ericales; Ericaceae. The record is from RefSeq and is a predicted model, not a curated record.